UUUGUUCAGUCGGUGCGAUAACGACGAGCACACAUUCCACACUUUCGGCUUGUGUUAUUCGUUGUUGCAAGUUCGGUACAACGUGUUAUAUUUUCUAAAUCGCUGGUGAUAAUUAGUGUUAAUAAACGUGUUUGAUCUUUUAAUGUAAUCUUCGUAAUAAUUAAUUGACUUGUGAAAAACAUUUGUCAUCAACAGAGGAGCAUGGAUCAUUGUGCUUCCAGUAUUCGCCAACUUGUCGUCGGUAUACCAUCUUCCAUAACCGGGAUUUUGCUCCUGAGUCUUACAUCGUACAAGGACCAUUCUUUCUUUAGAUUGGAUUUUGCACCUGAGUCUUACAUCGUAGAAGGACCAUUUUUGCAUCAGAUUGGAUUUUGCACCUGAGUCUGACAUCGUAGAAGGACCAUUCUGGUAUCAGAUUGGAUUUUGCACCUGAGUCUGACAUUGUAGAAGGACCAUUCUUGCAUCAGAUUGGAUUUUGCACCUGAGUCUGACAUCGUAGAAGGACCAUUCUUGCAUCAGAUUGUAAGUAUUAAAUUUCUUUAUCAUUUUCCUAAAUAACUUUUGUGAUUAUCUCACAAAUUGACCCCCAAAAUUGCAUUUUUAUGUUCAAAUAACUAAUUUUUGAUGGUUUUAGGGAUUUUGCACCUGAGUCUGACAUCGUAGAAGGACCAUUCUUGCAUCAGAUUGGAUUUUGCACCUGAGUCUGACAUCGUAGAAGGACCAUUCUUGCAUCAUAUUGUUAAUAUUUAAUUUCUUUAUUAUUAUCUUAAAUAACUUUUGUGAUUAUUACACAAAUGUACUUCCAAAAUUUAUACUCGUGUGUUUUCUUUAAUAAAUAAUAUUUUUUAAGUA
Long non-coding RNA from Dalotia coriaria, 852 nucleotides. RefSeq lists it as uncharacterized. The transcript is spliced from 8 exons. The record is from RefSeq and is a predicted model, not a curated record. NCBI's taxonomy places the organism in Eukaryota, Metazoa, Arthropoda, Insecta, Coleoptera, Staphylinidae.